CACGAAGUCGGAAUUGCUAGUAAUGGCAGGUCAGCAUACUGCCGUGAAUACGUUCCCGGGCCUUGUACACACCGCCCGUCACACCAUGAGAGUUAGGAAUACCCGAAGCCUGUGAGCUAACUUUAAUAGAGGCAGCAGUCGAAGGUAGAACUAAUGAUUGGGGUGAAGUCGUAACAAGGUAAC
Molecule: ribosomal RNA, 183 nt
Filed under: uncultured bacterium
Lineage: Bacteria
Description: partial 16S ribosomal RNA
Rfam family: Bacterial small subunit ribosomal RNA
Source: RNAcentral